CUCCCUUGAGGUGAGGAAUACCGGCGAGAAAUCGCCGACAAGACCGCAUACGAUUGGCAACAAUCAAAGUUUUGCUUCGCGAGAAGUGAGACGCCACAAGAUGAGCUCGCGCCCGAUUAGCUAGUUGGUGAGGUAACGGCUUACCAAGGCGACCAUCGGUAGCUGGUCUGAGAGGAUGAUCAGCCACACUGGGAUUGAGAACGGCCCAG
This 209-nucleotide ribosomal RNA is filed under the name uncultured bacterium. Its description in RNAcentral is "partial 16S ribosomal RNA". It matches the Rfam family "Bacterial small subunit ribosomal RNA", at positions 126 to 334 of the family's 1533-position model. The record is from RNAcentral.